UACGUAGGGGGCAAGCGUUGUCCGGAAUCAUUGGGCGUAAAGCGCGUGUAGGCGGUCCGGUAAGUCCGCUGUGAAAGUCGGGGGCUCAACCCUCGGAUGCCGGUGGAUACUGUCGGGCUUGAGUACGGAAGAGGCGAGUGGAAUUCCUGGUGUAGCGGUGGAAUGCGCAGAUAUCAGGAGGAACACCAAUAGCGAAGGCAGCUCGCUGGGACGGUACUGACGCUGAGGCGCGAAAGCGUGGGGAGCGAACAGG
RNAcentral lists this ribosomal RNA (253 nucleotides) under uncultured bacterium. RNAcentral's name for it is "partial 16S ribosomal RNA". It matches the Rfam family "Bacterial small subunit ribosomal RNA", at positions 524 to 776 of the family's 1533-position model. The record is from RNAcentral.